CCUACGGGAGGCAGCAGUGGGGAAUAUUGGGCAAUGGGCGCAAGCCUGACCCAGCAAUGCCGCGUGAAGGAAGAAGGCUUUCGGGUUGUAAACUUCUGUCAGCAGGGAAGAACGGUCACUGUGCUAAUCAGCAGUGAAUUGACGGUACCUGCAAAGGAAGCACCGGCUAACUCCGUGCCAGCAGCCGCGGUAAUACGGAGGAUGCGAGCGUUAUCCGGAUUUAUUGGGUUUAAAGGGUGCGUAGGCGGACUGGAAAGUCAGCGGUAAAAUCGAGAGGCUCAACCUCUUUCCGCCGUUGAAACUGUCGGUCUUGAGUGGGCGAGAAGUAUGCGGAAUGCGUGGUGUAGCGGUGAAAUGCAUAGAUAUCACGCAGAACUCCGAUUGCGAAGGCAGCAUACCGGCGCCCGACUGACGCUGAGGCACGAAAGCGUGGGUAUCGAACAGGAUUAGAUACCCGGGUAGUC
RNAcentral lists this ribosomal RNA (464 nucleotides) under uncultured bacterium. RNAcentral's name for it is "partial 16S ribosomal RNA". It matches the Rfam family "Bacterial small subunit ribosomal RNA", at positions 338 to 795 of the family's 1533-position model. The record is from RNAcentral.